AACGAACGCUGGCGGCAUGCCUAACACAUGCAAGUCGAACGAGACCUUCGGGUCUAGUGGCGCACGGGUGCGUAACGCGUGGGAACCUGCCCUUAGGUUCGGAAUAACUCCCCGAAAGGGGUGCUAAUACCGGAUAAUGUCUUCGGACCAAAGCUUUAUCGCCUUUGGAUGGGCCCGCGUUGGAUUAGCUAGUUGGUAGGGUAAAAGCCAACCAAGGCGACAAUCCAUAGCUGGUCUGAGAGGAUGAUCAGCCACACUGGGACUGGGACACGGCCCAGACUCCUACGGGAGGCAGCAAUGGGGAAUAUUGGACAAUGGGCGAAAGCCUGAUCCAGCAAUGCCGCGUGAGUGAUGAAGGCCUUGGGGUUGUAAAGCUCUUUUACCCGGGAUGAUAAUGACGGUACCGGGAGAAUAAGCUCCGGCUAACUCCGUG
This 433-nucleotide ribosomal RNA is filed under the name uncultured bacterium. RNAcentral describes it as "partial 16S ribosomal RNA". It matches the Rfam family "Bacterial small subunit ribosomal RNA", at positions 29 to 507 of the family's 1533-position model. The record is from RNAcentral.